UAACCUGCCCAAGAGACUGGGAUAACACCUGGAAACAGAUGCUAAUACCGGAUAACAACACUAGACGCAUGUCUAGAGUUUGAAAGAUGGUUCUGCUAUCACUCUUGGAUGGACCUGCGGUGCAUUAGCUAGUUGGUAAGGUAACGGCUUACCAAGGCAAUGAUGCAUAGCCGAGUUGAGAGACUGAUCGGCCACAUUGGGACUGAGACACGGCCCAAACUCCUACGGGAGGCAGCAGUAGGGAAUCUUCCACAAUGGACGAAAGUCUGAUGGAGCAACGCCGCGUGAGUGAAGAAGGGUUUCGGCUCGUAAAGCUCUGUUGGUAGUGAAGAAAGAUAGAGGUAGUAACUGGCCUUUAUUUGACGGUAAUUACUUAGAAAGUCACGGCUAACUACGUGCCAGCAGCCGCGGUAAUACGUAGGUGGCAAGCGUUGUCCGGAUUUAUUGGGCGUAAAGCGAGUGCAGGCGGUUCAAUAAGUCUGAUGUGAAAGCCUUCGGCUCAACCGGAGAAUUGCAUCAGAAACUGUUGAACUUGAGUGCAGAAGAGGAGAGUGGAACUCCAUGUGUAGCGGUGGAAUGCGUAGAUAUAUGGAAGAACACCAGUGGCGAAGGCGGUUCUCUGGUCUGCAACUGACGCUGAGGCUCGAAAGCAUGGGUAGCGAACAGGAUUAGAUACCCUGGUAGUCCAUGCCGUAAACGAUGAGUGCUAAAUGUUGGGAGGUUU
RNAcentral lists this ribosomal RNA (724 nucleotides) under uncultured bacterium. RNAcentral's name for it is "bacterial SSU rRNA". It matches the Rfam family "Bacterial small subunit ribosomal RNA", at positions 122 to 833 of the family's 1533-position model. The record is from RNAcentral.